RNAcentral lists this ribosomal RNA (373 nucleotides) under uncultured bacterium. RNAcentral's name for it is "bacterial SSU rRNA". It matches the Rfam family "Bacterial small subunit ribosomal RNA", at positions 523 to 898 of the family's 1533-position model. The record is from RNAcentral.
AUACGUAGGGGGCAAGCGUUAUCCGGAUUCAUUGGGCGUAAAGCGCGCGUAGGCGGUCUGUUAGGUCGGAAGUCAAAUCCGGGGGCUCAACCUCCGUUCGCUUCCGAUACCGGCAGACUUGAGUUUGGUAGGGGAAGGUGGAAUUCCCAGUGUAGCGGUGGAAUGCGCAGAUAUUGGGAAGAACACCGGUGGCGAAGGCGGCCUUCUGGGCCAUAACUGACGCUGAGGCGCGAAAGCUAGGGGAGCGAACAGGAUUAGAUACCCUGGUAGUCCUAGCCGUAAACGAUGGACACUAGGUGUGGGGAGAUGUUCUCUCCGUGCCGCAGCCAACGCAUUAAGUGUCCCGCCUGGGGAGUACGACCGCAAGGUUAAA